This 1955-nucleotide non-coding RNA is filed under the name Cryptosporidium parvum. Lineage: Eukaryota; Apicomplexa; Conoidasida; Eucoccidiorida; Cryptosporidiidae. The record is from RNAcentral.
AUAUUUUUUUUUCUAAGAAUAUUUACUAUUUCUUGAUUAUUUCUGGUGAUAGAUGUGCUGGUAGAUCUUUGUGGAAAUAAAUGAGUAUUUGGUUUUUGUGAUUGCCUACUAUAAACAUUCUCAGAAGAUUUUCUUUCUUUGAAUGUAAGGAAUUUAUGAUUAUUUGGCGUUCCAGAAUUACGGUUUAAUAUAUUGGAGUUUGAGGUUUGAAUCGUUGAUUUUGGUAAAUUUGAUGAAAUUUUAUCUAUUGGAGUUAAAUUGCUGAAGGGUUGAGGUAUGCAUGAAGAUGUACCAAUUGGGUUGGAGAAGUUAGAGUUGGUUUUUCCAAUUAUUUGUGAAAACGAAUGGCUUUGAGGUAGUAUGCGUGAAUUAAGAGAAAUACUUUGACUUGAAAUAUUAUUAGAGGCUGGUGAAGGUUUCCUUGGAGUUUGGAAAAUUGGAGAGUUAUUAAUUUGUUUCCAUGACGACGCCGUUGAAGGGUUGGAUAAAGGAGAAGAUAUGUGUGUAAUAAGAGGAAGAUACGAGCGUUUUGGGGUACAAAUUGGUAUUUUUGAAUUACCAACAGUUGGGAUAGAACAAUGUUCAAUGACGCUUUGAGAAUUACCAAGCUUGUGUGAUGUUCCAGGAACCAUCGAGCUUGGAAAGAACUCACUAACGAAAGAUUCUCCUUGAAUUUUAUUGGUAUUACAUGAAUUGAAAUUAAGUUCUUCAGAGAGAUUAGAUAUUGGAACAGAAGUAGAAGCUUUUGCAGAGUUAUAAAAAGAAACUAACAAAUCAUCAGGGAACUUGUCAAAGUUUGAAUGGUCUAAUUUAUGCUUGACUUUUGGUACAAUUGGAGGUUUUUGGUGGCGGAUUUUGGUAAAGUCCAUUCCUUUAAAAAAUGGAUGCUUCAAAGCUUCUUUCGCACUCUUAAUUCUUUGUGAAGGUUCACAAACCAAAGAACAAAUCAAAUCCAUGGCUUCUGGAGAAUAUUUAUGAUGCUCUGAAGGUAAGUAAAAAUGCUUAUCCCAAUUCAUCACCUUGUUUCUUGUUAUAAGUGAGUUCUGACCUGGAUCUGAUAACGGAGGGCCACCAAAAAGCAUUUCAAAUAAUAUUAUCCCUACACUCCAUAAAUCUACACAAAGGGAGUAAGGUUCUCCUCUAUGAAUUUCAGGAGCCAUAUAAUCUGGGGUGCCAGCAUGAAAGUUUUGAUCAUGAAUAAGUACUUCAUGUGGAUCAAUUCUAGCAGUUACAUUCUUUUGAAAAGAUGAAUUUACUGAAGCAUUCGAAACAAAAGGUCUUUGUUUGCUUUGGAUUAUUUGCUUUGAUAGUCCAAAGUCUAUUAAUUUUAUAUGGCCAUCUACGUCUAACAGUAUAUUAUCUGGUUUUAUAUCUCUAUGAAUAUGACCUUGAAUAUUAUUUAAAUAAUCUAAGGCCAGAAGCAAUUCAGCAAUAUAAAAUUUUGCUGUUUCUUCAUCAAAAGUAUGAAGAUCAAUCAAAUGCCGCAUUAAAUCUCCUCCUGGCAUAUAUUCCAUCAACAUAUAAUAGAAAUGGUUGUCUUCCCAAUAAUAAUAAAGUUUAUUAAUCCAUGGGCUAUCUGAAUUAUACAUUAAUGAAAUCUCAGUAUUCAGCAUUAUUCCAGUGUUCAAAGUUUGUUUUUCUUCAACUUGUUUCUUAGAAGAAUUAAUAUCUAUCUUUACCAAAUUCUCAAGGUUAUCGUGUUGGCUUUGAUUAUUCAUUAUUUGACAUUUCUUUGCCUGUUUUAAUGCAUAAACAUUCCCAGUAUGAAUAUCAAAUACCAGUCUUACUAUUGAAUAGCCUCCUUGGCCAAUUACAGAAAUGGUGUGGAAGUCAUCCAAUGUCACAUUUUGACGCAAUGAAAAGAUAUUUCUGUGAUACUCUACGGAGUUUUCAUCAAUUUCCUUGUUCAAAAUCUUUUUCUUACAAGAAGCACAAUACUUUUCUUCAGGUUCUGG